Molecule: ribosomal RNA, 1477 nt
Filed under: metagenome
Description: bacterial SSU rRNA
Rfam family: Bacterial small subunit ribosomal RNA
Source: RNAcentral
AGAGUUUGAUCCUGGCUCAGAAUGAACGCUGGCGGCGCGCUUAAUACAUGCAAGUCGUGCGGUAAGGCCUCUUCGGAGGUACACGAGCGGCAUACGGGUGAGUAACACGUGGGUAAUCUGCCUUUGUCUCGGGGAUAACCAGGGGAAACUCUGGCUAAUACCCGAUGAUGUCACGAAACUCAGUUGUUUUGUGACCAAAGCUCCGGCGGACAAAGAUGAGCCCGCGGCCCAUUAGCUAGUUGGCGGGGUAACGGCCCACCAAGGCAACGAUGGGUAGCCGGCCUGAGAGGGUGAUCGGCCACACUGGAACUGAGACACGGUCCAGACUCCUACGGGAGGCAGCAGUAGGGAAUAUUGGGCAAUGGGCGCAAGCCUGACCCAGCGACGCCGUGUGAGUGGUGAAGCCCUUCGGGGUGUAAAGCUCUGUAAGCAGGGACGAAGUUCUGACGGUACCUGCAAAGUAAGCCCCGCUAACUCCGUGCCAGCAGCCGCGGUAAUACGGAGGGGGCAAGCGUUAUUCGGAAUUACUGGGCGUAAAGAGCGCGUAGGCGGCUUGUUAAGUCGUGGGUUUAAUUUCAGGGCUCAACCCUGAAGCUGCCUGCGAUACUGGCAAGCUAGAGUACUAGAGAGGGAAGCGGAAUUCCUAGUGUAGCGGUGAAAUGCGUAGAUAUUAGGAGGAACACCAGUGGCGAAGGCGGCUUCCUGGAUAGUUACUGACGCUGAGGCGCGAAAGCCAGGGGAGCGAACGGGAUUAGAUACCCCGGUAGUCCUGGCCGUAAACGAUGGGUACUAGGUGUAGUGGGCAUCGACCCCCACUGUGCCGUAGCUAACGCAUUAAGUACCCCGCCUGGGGAGUACGUUCGCAAGAAUGAAACUCAAAGGAAUUGACGGGGGCCCGCACAAGCGGUGGAGCAUGUGGUUUAAUUCGAUGCAACGCGAAGAACCUUACCGGGGUUUGACAUCCCGCGGACAGUUUCCAGAGAUGGGAGCCUCUCCGCAAGGAGCCGCGGUGACAGGUGCUGCAUGGCUGUCGUCAGCUCGUGCCGUGAGAUGUUGGGUUAAGUCCCGCAACGAGCGCAACCCUUAUCCUUAGUUGCCAGCGGGUAAUGCCGGGAACUCUAAGGAGACUGCCGUUGAUAAAACGGAGGAAGGUGGGGAUGACGUCAAGUCAUCAUGGCCCUUAUACCCCGGGCUACACACGUGCUACAAUGGCCGGUACAAAGAGUCGCGAGACCGCAAGGUGGAGCUAAUCUCAAAAAGCCGGCCUCAGUGCGAAUUGGAGUCUGCAACUCGACUCCAUGAAGGCGGAAUCGCUAGUAAUCGCGGAUCAGCACGCCGCGGUGAAUACGUUCCCGGGCCUUGUACACACCGCCCGUCACACCACGAAAGUUGGCUGCACUAGAAGUCGUCGCGCUAACCGCAAGGAGGCAGGCGCCGAAGGUGUGGUCAGUGAUUGGGGUGAAGUCGUAACAAGGUA